This 253-nucleotide ribosomal RNA is filed under the name uncultured bacterium. Its description in RNAcentral is "partial 16S ribosomal RNA". It matches the Rfam family "Bacterial small subunit ribosomal RNA", at positions 524 to 776 of the family's 1533-position model. The record is from RNAcentral.
UACGUAGGGGGCUAGCGUUGUCCGGAAUCAUUGGGCGUAAAGCGCGUGUAGGCGGCCCGGUAAGUCCGCUGUGAAAGUCGGGGGCUCAACCCUCGAAUGCCGGUGGAUACUGUCGGGCUAGAGUGCGGGAGAGGCGAGUGGAAUUCCUGGUGUAGCGGUGAAAUGCGCAGAUAUCAGGAGGAACACCAAUUGCGAAGGCAGCUCGCUGGAACGUAACUGACGCUGAGACGCGAAAGCGUGGGGAGCGAACAGG